AGUGAACGCUGGCGGUAGGCCUAACACAUGCAAGUCGAACGGCAGCACAGUAAGAGCUUGCCCUUAAGGGUGGCGAGUGGCGGACGGGUGAGGAAUACAUCGGAAUCUACUUUUUCGUGGGUGAUAACGUAGGGAAACUUACGCUAAUACCGCAUACGACCUACGGGUGAAAGCAGGGGAUCUUCGGACCUUGCGCGACUCAAUGAGCCGAUGUCGGAUUAGCUAGUUGGCGGGGUAAAGGCCCACCAAGGCGACGCUCCGUAGCUGGUCUGAGAGGAUGAUCAGCCACACUGGAACUGAGACACGGUCCAGACUCCUACGGGAGGCAGCAGUGGGGAAUAUUGGACAAUGGGCGCAAGCCUGAUCCAGCCAUACCGCGUGGGUGAAGAAGGCCUUCGGGUUGUAAAGCCCUUUUGUUGGGAAAGAAAAGCAGCAGGUUAAUACCCCGCUGUUCUGACGGUACCCAAAGAAUAAGCACCGGCUAACUUCGUG
RNAcentral lists this ribosomal RNA (492 nucleotides) under uncultured bacterium. Its description in RNAcentral is "partial 16S ribosomal RNA". It matches the Rfam family "Bacterial small subunit ribosomal RNA", at positions 29 to 507 of the family's 1533-position model. The record is from RNAcentral.